GGAGAGGUGGCCGAGUGGUCGAAGGCGCACGCCUGGAAAGUGUGUAUAUCGAAAGGUAUCGAGGGUUCGAACCCCUCCUUCUCCGCCA
This 88-nucleotide transfer RNA is filed under the name Oceanospirillum multiglobuliferum. RNAcentral's name for it is "tRNA_Ser_GGA". It matches the Rfam family "tRNA". From Rfam's summary of the family: Transfer RNA (tRNA) molecules are approximately 80 nucleotides in length. Their secondary structure includes four short double-helical elements and three loops (D, anti-codon, and T loops). The record is from RNAcentral. Lineage: Bacteria; Pseudomonadati; Pseudomonadota; Gammaproteobacteria; Oceanospirillales; Oceanospirillaceae.